This 468-nucleotide ribosomal RNA is filed under the name uncultured bacterium. RNAcentral's name for it is "partial 16S ribosomal RNA". It matches the Rfam family "Bacterial small subunit ribosomal RNA", at positions 28 to 507 of the family's 1533-position model. The record is from RNAcentral.
GACGAACGCUGGCGGCGUGCUUAACACAUGCAAGUCGAACGGAAAGGCCCUGCGUUUGUGGGGUGCUCGAGUGGCGAACGGGGGAGUAACAGGUGAGUAACCUGCCCUUGACUUUGGGAUAACUUCAGGAAACUGGGGCUAAUACCGGAUAGCAGCUGCUGCUGCAUGGUGGGGGUUGGAACGUUUCGGCGGUUGUGGCUGGACUCGCGGCUUAUGAGCUUGUUGGUGGGGUAGUGGCUUACCAAGGGAUUGACGGAUAGCCGGCACGGGAGGGUGGCCGGGGUCCAUGGGCCUACGAUACGGACCAGAGUGCUACGGGAGGCAGCAGUGGGAAAUAUGGCACAGUGGGACGAAGCCUGAUGAGGAGACGCCGCGUGCGGGAUGACGGCCUUCGGGUUGUGAACCGCUUUCGCCUGUGACGAAGCGUUAGUGACGGUACUGGGUAAAGAAGCACCGGCUAACUACGUG